AGAGAGGAGCUGAAGCAGAGAUCCCAGCCCCCAAUAGAGAUGAGGAUGCCAAGGACACAGAGUGACUACAAGGAUGAUGGGGGUAGUCCUGCAGUGUCAGAAAACACAAGAGACACCUUUUGAAUUCUCACGACAAUCAGCAAUCGUUUCGAGGGUUGUUGCCUCCUCCUGGUUGUCUUACCCCAGUCUCUGAGCUGCAGAAGGGCAGGGAGAUUUAUUGGUUCUGCUGCUUCUGCGUCCUCUGAAUCCAAAAUAGACCAAAUAUACAAAGAGGAAAUAAUAUGGAGAGAGAAACACACACAGACCCGGGGAAGAAGACCCAAAAGAUGGAGACAGAGAUUGCAGAGAUGCACUACAGCCCAAGGAGGCCAAGGAUGGCUGGAGCCACAAGAAGCCAGGAGA
Nycticebus coucang (slow loris) is the source of this 402-nucleotide long non-coding RNA. RefSeq lists it as uncharacterized. NCBI's taxonomy places the organism in Eukaryota, Metazoa, Chordata, Mammalia, Primates, Lorisidae. The record is from RefSeq and is a predicted model, not a curated record. The transcript is spliced from 3 exons.